Molecule: ribosomal RNA, 429 nt
Filed under: Chloroflexota bacterium
Lineage: Bacteria; Bacillati; Chloroflexota
Description: Chloroflexi bacterium partial 16S ribosomal RNA
Rfam family: Bacterial small subunit ribosomal RNA
Source: RNAcentral
UGGGGAAUAUUGCACAAUGGGCGCGAGCCUGAUGCAGCCAUGCCGCGUGUGUGAAGAAGGCCUUCGGGUUGUAAAGCACUUUCAGCGGGGAGGAAGGCGUUAAGGUUAAUAACCUUGGCGAUUGACGUUACCCGCAGAAGAAGCACCGGCUAACUCCGUGCCAGCAGCCGCGGUAAUACGGAGGGUGCAAGCGUUAAUCGGAAUUACUGGGCGUAAAGCGCACGCAGGCGGUCUGUCAAGUCGGAUGUGAAAUCCCCGGGCUCAACCUGGGAACUGCAUUCGAAACUGGCAGGCUAGAGUCUUGUAGAGGGGGGUAGAAUUCCAGGUGUAGCGGUGAAAUGCGUAGAGAUCUGGAGGAAUACCGGUGGCGAAGGCGGCCCCCUGGACAAAGACUGACGCUCAGGUGCGAAAGCGUGGGGAGCAAACAGG